UGGAAAGAGAUCAUCAGGUUGUAUCGUGGUUGUAAGGGUCUCUGCCCCCAAAACUAUGAGUGCUGGAGGGCAGGACUGUGUUUUGCUCACUAUUUUAUUUCCAAGGUGCAGCAUGAUCCCUGUCACACAUUAGGCUGUUGGUAUAUAUCUGUUGAAUAAGUGAAUGGAUGGAGUCAAAGUGCAGUUCUUACACAUGAAGACUUUUAUGUGUGACUCCUAAAAUUCCAUUAACUCCUACCAGAUUCGCCCCUCAAGGUGCACUCCUUAGUUCUCCAGUAGGAAACAAGAUGAUGUUGGGAAUGUCAGAAGUGUAAAGGCUAUUAAAUACUCGGUCAGGUUAGGUCACAUCUGCAAUUGCUUUAAGUCGGGCCAGCUGUGGAGUGGGUGGGAGCAGACUUUAUGGCAACAACAAAAAGAGAAACAUGUGCUCUGCUAGAGAAAAAUACACCACAGCUUCUGAAGUCACCCUCCACAUGCAGCUCCAGUGCUUUCCAACUCAUUCUGUUCGCUCCCACACUGAAAAGAGGCCUUUCUGGGUGCAACAUGAGGCCAGCCCCCUCUGCACGUGUGGACCCAGGGCUCCACGGCUGAGCUCAGGAGGGGAUUCUCUCACCAGCACUUAUUACAGAGCAAAGCACCACAUUGCCAAACUCCCUUGGGAAGACUUGGUGAUUUCUCACAGUGAAGAAUUUGGCACAGCAAGAAAAAAUGUAUAAAUCCAACUUGAUUUCACACUCGGAGAGAUGUGUACACCAGACUUGAUUCUACAAGACAUGAAAUUAAACAUACCCUUUCCAUUUUGCUCCCUCCUCAGCCUGGCCAAAUACCACAGCCAUUGCAUCUGUUACAUAUGUUCCAACCCAAAUCUGCUCAGAAUGUCCCCACAGAUGGUCUGCCAGCACUCUAGGGGAGGUAAAAGCCAACACCCACACUUAGUCAUGUGUUGCAUGACUCAUGAAAUCCAACACAAACCACUCGGACGGUGAGGUGACAAAAACACAAGCGGUCUGGAGAGAGCUGUGACUGGACUCUGGCCGGAUGCGGAGCAGGUGAAAGGAGAGCAGAGCUGACGAAAACCUCUCCUGCUGCCCCGGCACACCCCACAUGGACCAGGGGCCCGUGCUGGGGCUCAAAGUUGGGAAAAGUCCAAGUGCAAGGAGCUUGAAGCCCAGCCCAGCCUUUCCCGUUGGCCAGGACAGGAGCAAUUUUAACAGGAAGAUGCACUCUGAAUGCCAAUUUAGAAAUUACCUGGCGCCUUGAGCAGGUGGGUAGGCAAUGGAUGCCAUAACCAUCUUGGGACCCACAAGAGAAGGGAUAGCAGAAGGUCCACACUUCCCAACACAAGAGCUCUGCCUGCCGUUUGCCUGACAGAAGAUUCCAUUAUUCUUAAACAAGAUGGAAGGCUUGGGCACUGACCACCUCUUGAAACUGGAGAAAAUGGGCUUCUCUAAGGAAGAAAAUUGGGAAGAAUUCCUCUUUGGCCACCAGAAUGGAUUUGAGAAAGAAAAGGAUGCAGAUUUUGGCAGGAAAAUUGCACAGCCUCUGAGCCCAAGCUAAGCCAUCGUAUCCCCUGUGACCU
Molecule: long non-coding RNA, 1579 nt
Filed under: Homo sapiens (human)
Lineage: Eukaryota; Metazoa; Chordata; Mammalia; Primates; Hominidae
Description: HSALNT0314268
Source: RNAcentral